RNAcentral lists this ribosomal RNA (580 nucleotides) under uncultured Pseudomonadota bacterium. RNAcentral's name for it is "bacterial SSU rRNA". It matches the Rfam family "Bacterial small subunit ribosomal RNA", at positions 97 to 655 of the family's 1533-position model. Lineage: Bacteria; Pseudomonadati; Pseudomonadota. The record is from RNAcentral.
GGCGCACGGGUGAGUAACGCGUGGGUAACCUACCUUGGAGUGGGGGAUAACCAGCCGAAAGGCUGACUAAUCCCGCAUACGACCGACAGGCAUAAGUUUGUCGGGGAAAGAUGGCCUCUGCUUGCAAGCUAUCGCUCUUGGAUGGGCCCGCGUUAGAUUAGCUAGUUGGUGAGGUAAAGGCUCACCAAGGCUACGAUCUAUAGCUGGUUUGAGAGGACGACCAGCCACACUGGAACUGAGACACGGUCCAGACUCCUACGGGAGGCAGCAGUGAGGAAUAUUGCGCAAUGGGGGAAACCCUGACGCAGCGACGCCGUGUGAGCGAUGAAGGCCUUCGGGUUGUAAAGCUCUGUCAGAGGGGAAGAAAGGGGAUAUGGCUAAUAUCCAUGUCCAUUGACGGUACCCUUGGAGGAAGCACCGGCUAACUCCGUGCCAGCAGCCGCGGUAAUACGGAGGGUGCGAGUGUUAUUCGGAAUCACUGGGCGUAAAGAGCACGUAGGCGGAUAGGUAAGUCAGAUGUGAAAUCCCGGAGCUCAACUCCGGAACUGCAUUUGAUACUGCCUGUCUUGAGUGUGGUAGA